Molecule: long non-coding RNA, 811 nt
Filed under: Malus domestica (apple)
Lineage: Eukaryota; Viridiplantae; Streptophyta; Magnoliopsida; Rosales; Rosaceae
Description: long non-coding RNA (MDOM_LNC008253)
Source: RNAcentral
GGGACAUUCCUGGUACUGUAUAACUAGUACUUGUCCUACUAGACUGUACCUAGACUUAUUAUGCUCUGAUUAUGAGUGUUUACUUUUGUAACUAACUCCUAUCACUUCCUAUUUAGUAGUGCACUCUAGUAACUUGGUUUCCAAUUAUUCGUAUAUUUCCUAUCAUUAUUGCUUUCGCACUGUGCACAUGGCUACGUCACUCUCACGUGGCGGCCAGCAUGCAUUGAUCUCGAUCGGGGUGUGUCAGUUUGGUAUCAGAGCCUAGGUUUAGCAGUCCUGUAUAAUGCUUAAAUGUUAUAAUCUUUGUGAUGUCUACGUCAGAACUAUGCCGCCUCGUAGAGAGCCCCGUCACUCAGUUGAGCCUAGUUUCCCUGAUAGUACUCAAUUAGGGGAAGCUAUAGUGGCUGCCCUUCAGACUGUUUUCCGUCCUCCCUAGAAGACACCUCUUGAGACUGUGUACAACCUGAAACUGAAUCACUUCAUUGGAAAUGAAGGUCAUGAGGGGGCAGAAAAGUGGCUUAAUCAGAUUGAGAAGACCUUUAUUGUGAUGCAGAGUCAAGGGAAUCUUUCUCCUGAUAGGUGGGUCGAGAUGAAUACCUAGUUUUUGAGAGAACGACCUGCAUCCUGGUGGAGACAUGAGUCUUACUAGUUGACCCUAGCAGAGACUGCGGACUGGGGAGUAUUUAAAAAAUUGUUUUGAAAAAGGUUCAUUCCUCCUGAGUAUAUUGAUCGUAAGAAACAAGAGUUUACUCAUUUGAAGCAAGGAAAGAUGUCAACUAAUGAGUAUUAUAGGAUGUUUACUGAUCUGUCG